This 253-nucleotide ribosomal RNA is filed under the name uncultured bacterium. Its description in RNAcentral is "partial 16S ribosomal RNA". It matches the Rfam family "Bacterial small subunit ribosomal RNA", at positions 524 to 776 of the family's 1533-position model. The record is from RNAcentral.
UACGGAGGGUGCAAGCGUUAUUCGGAAUUACUGGGCGUAAAGCGUGCGCAGGCGGUUUGUUAAGUCUGUUGUGAAAUCCCCGAGCUCAACUUGGGAAUUGCAAUGGAUACUGGCAGGCUGGAGUAUGGUAGAGGAAGGUGGAAUUCCCGGUGUAGCAGUGAAAUGCGUAGAGAUCGGGAGGAACACCAGUGGCGAAGGCGGCCUUCUGGACCAAUACUGACGCUCAUGCACGAAAGCGUGGGGAGCAAACAGG